RNAcentral lists this long non-coding RNA (1599 nucleotides) under Anas platyrhynchos platyrhynchos (common mallard). Its description in RNAcentral is "lncRNA (ENSAPLG00000020820.1)". The record is from RNAcentral. Lineage: Eukaryota; Metazoa; Chordata; Aves; Anseriformes; Anatidae.
GCCAAUCACUGUGGUAUCUAAGUACUAGCUGUCCUUUUGAACAGUCUGUGUCACGUAAAGAGGGAUCCAUCUCUCUUAACUUCAGACUUCUAAAGGCUGUCUAGUCUCACUAGUUCACUAUGCUCCCUUUAAAGAUGAGGAGGAAAGACAAACAUCUCCAGAGAGUUAACCUUCACAUCUAUUUUUUUUACCCCUGUGUUGUGGUGGAAGUUCACUACACUCAUGAAGUUGUUGUUCACGGACAGAUUUGGCUAGACAGCUUUCAGAUUUCUAAAAGAAGGCAACGAACUCAGACUCAGACUACAAGGGAACAGAAAUUAUAUGGAUCUAUGGAUCUCAUGUGCAAAGCAGGAAACUCAACAAGUCUGUACAAGAGGUUGGAGCUCAAACUUUUUUCUUUUUCUUUCUGCUGUUCUGAAGGAGCUUAAUUGCUUGUGAGAGUCUAUUUUUCUCCAUUGCUUCCACUCUCCAUUUUGUGUUCUCAAGUCCUAACAUCACCACUGGCAGUUGAACAGAACCAAAAAAAAGGAAACAGAGCAAGUGAAUAUAUACGAAAAAUAUGCCAGGAUGUGACACCAAUAUGGUGGAAGACUGACAGUAAUAGAUCUGGUCCAUUUCUGGGAAUUUCCCUCUCUGUUAUUAAAUGCACUGAGCUGAUUUAUACUGCAGAUUGACGUUUACCACUUAUAACUAACACAACAGGUGCAGAGGGUGCAAAAAGUUCUUGUGAUUUGCUCAAGUAGGCUUCCAGAAAACUAUCAGAGGUCUGAUCAAACAAGGACAACUACAAAUAAUAGAAGUGUCAUCACCACCACAAACACCCCAGAGGAUCCUGUGAAAUGUUCUGUGGGUUUCUGGAGCGCUUUAUAGCUGAGGAGUUCAACAUAUCAGAUGAUUUAUAAGAAGAUCUGCUUUCUCUCUACUCAUGUUGUAUCAUCUUGUCUGAGGCAGCCCAUGCUCCUGCUUCAAGAGCUGUAUUUGGAAAUUGGUCAUAUUGUAGUGUUUCUGCUUCCAACAAUGAACUUGUAUAAGCGCAUCAUGUUUCAUCGCACUAGGCAGCAUAACAGUAGCAGGCCUGUGAUUAUUUAUUUCUCCCCAGUUUUUGAACAUUUCAUUAAUUCCUCUCAAAUACCCAUGGUCAGUAUGAGCAGGACACUUUUGCUGCACAAAGUUAAGCAUGUAAAUAUAAGGUGUUUUUUUUUCCUUUUUUUCUCUUUCUUUUUCUCUUUUUCCUUUCUUCGAAUGUUUGUCAUACUUAGAGAUGACUUCAUGGUGUAUUUUUUUUUUGUUGUUCUGAACUGUUGUGGAAUCUAUAGUGAUAGUUGAAAGCAUAUUUGGGAGAGAAACAUUGAAGAAAAAGAACUCAUCACAAUAUAUGCAAUUCUUAUGAGUUAUUAAACCUGAAAGCCACAAAUUAAUGGAAAAAAAUAUAUAUAAAUUGUAGCCUGAUUUUUAUAGAAGGCAUUAUGUAUUCCAGAACUAUAAUAGUGGCACACUCAGAAAAGGCAUUUUAAUCCUGCAAACUAUUAUUUGGAUACUUUCAAAUACUUUUCAAUACUCCCUGAGUGUGCAGUCCUAAUAAAGUGGACUAUUCCAGCA